This 497-nucleotide ribosomal RNA is filed under the name uncultured bacterium. RNAcentral describes it as "partial 16S ribosomal RNA". It matches the Rfam family "Bacterial small subunit ribosomal RNA", at positions 28 to 507 of the family's 1533-position model. The record is from RNAcentral.
GAUGAACGCUGGCGGCGUGCCUAAUACAUGCAAGUCGAGCGAACAGAUAAGGAGCUUGCUCCUUUGACGUUAGCGGCGGACGGGUGAGUAACACGUGGGUAACCUACCUAUAAGACUGGGAUAAUUUCGGGAAACCGGAGCUAAUACCGGAUAACAUUUGGAACCGCAUGGUUCUAAAGUGAAAGAUGGUUUUGCUAUCACUUAUAGAUGGACCCGCGCCGUAUUAGCUAGUUGGUAAGGUAACGGCUUACCAAGGCAACGAUACGUAGCCGACCUGAGAGGGUGAUCGGCCACACUGGAACUGAGACACGGUCCAGACUCCUACGGGAGGCAGCAGUAGGGAAUCUUCCGCAAUGGGCGAAAGCCUGACGGAGCAACGCCGCGUGAGUGAUGAAGGGUUUCGGCUCGUAAAACUCUGUUAUUAGGGAAGAACAAAUGUGUAAGUAACUGUGCACGUCUUGACGGUACCUAAUCAGAAAGCCACGGCUAACUACGUG